GACGAACGCUGGCGGCGUGCCUAAUACAUGCAAGUAGGACGCAGUUGUGAACGGGUGAGUAACGCGUAGGUAACUGCCUAUUAGAGGGGGAUAACUAUUGGAAACGAUAGCUAAUACCGCAUACUAGUAGAUGGACCUGCGUUGUAUUAGCUAGGAGGUAGGGUAAUGGCCUACCUAGGCGACGAUACAUAGCCGAACUGAGAGGGUGAUCGGCCCCACUGGGACUUAGAAACGGCCCAGACUCCGACGGGAGGCAGCAGUAGGGAAUCUUCGGCAAUGGGGGGAACCCUGACCGAGCAACGCCGCGGGAGUGAGGAAGGUUUUCGGAUCGUAAAGCUCUGUUGUUAAGGAAGCGGUACUUAACCAGAAAGGGACGGCUAACUCCGUGCCAGCAGCCGCGGUAAUUC
Molecule: ribosomal RNA, 407 nt
Filed under: uncultured bacterium
Lineage: Bacteria
Description: partial 16S ribosomal RNA
Rfam family: Bacterial small subunit ribosomal RNA
Source: RNAcentral